AUAGAAAGUAACUAAGAUAGGUAUUGACUUGUCCUGAUGUGCUAGAAUUCUCAACGAGGAUCUGCUGGUGUUGAUUAACUGGUAGGGACAGUAAGUGGCCCAUUUAGUGCCUUGAUCAGAAUCUUGU
Molecule: small nucleolar RNA, 127 nt
Filed under: Nannospalax galili (Upper Galilee mountains blind mole rat)
Lineage: Eukaryota; Metazoa; Chordata; Mammalia; Rodentia; Spalacidae
Description: Small nucleolar RNA SNORA3/SNORA45 family (ENSNGAG00000009425.1)
Source: RNAcentral